RNAcentral lists this ribosomal RNA (444 nucleotides) under uncultured bacterium. RNAcentral's name for it is "partial 16S ribosomal RNA". It matches the Rfam family "Bacterial small subunit ribosomal RNA", at positions 29 to 506 of the family's 1533-position model. The record is from RNAcentral.
AACGAACGCUGGCGGCAGGCUUAACACAUGCAAGUCGAACGAGCUGGGGGCUUCGGUCCCCGAUGCUAGUGGCGCACGGGUGAGUAACACGUGGGAAUAUGCCCUUUAGUACGGAAUAACCAAGGGAAACUUUGGCUAAUACCGUAUACGCCCUUCGGGGGAAAGAUUUAUCGCUAAAGGAUUAGCCCGCGUCUGAUUAGGUAGUUGGUGAGGUAAUGGCUUACCAAGCCGACGAUCAGUAGCUGGUCUGAGAGGAUGAUCAGCCACACUGGGACUGAGCACCGGCCCAGCCCCCUCGGGGGGGCGGAAGUGGGGAAUAUUGGAAAUGGGGGGAAACCCUAACCCACCCCUGCCGGGUGAGUGAAAAAGGCCUUCGGGUUGUAAAGCUUUUUCGCCGGGGACGAUGAUGCCGGUCCCCAUAAAAGAAGCCCCGGCAACCUUCUU